Molecule: non-coding RNA, 27 nt
Filed under: Homo sapiens (human)
Lineage: Eukaryota; Metazoa; Chordata; Mammalia; Primates; Hominidae
Source: RNAcentral
UACCAGUGGAAGCGAGCCAUCGAGCCA